CAUUCAAAUGUAACGAAGUUCAGAAGUUUGUUUUUCCCUGCCUGGCGAAGCAAGCCAACGAUGUAUGAUAAUUGCGGGAGUUGACAAGCGGUGAAGUGUCGGCGUUUUCAGCAGUGCUGGCUGAGCUGCAGUGUACAUGGGCUAUAUGACGAUCUGCUAUGGUUGUGCGAGUGACAGGAAUCAAGUGCAGUCAGUGACCAUCAAGACUCAAAACUCUGCAAUUAUUGACAACAUGCUGAACAGAUUUGAAAUGACAGGAGCGACGGGGAAGGCCAUCGUAGCCAGCAGAGAGCCGUCAACACCACAGUGACACAACAGAAGAAGACCAUACAGCACAUGUCGUCAUGGUCACCAGCUACUCUGCCAUCACCAUGGCUCAAAGUUUCCAGCAGGCACAGCUGAUCAACACUACCGAGCGGUUCUGAUCAGGGUUUGAUGUGGAUGAGGACCAUGUCACCAACUUCUGCCCUGCUUCGUUCUGAUGCUCCGUCAUCGGGGAGUAUAUUCUACUCUUUGUCAAGUGCACUUCCAGUCUCAUUACAUUGGCACCGAACUUUUGCUCUGAAUUUCCCACGCCCUGCUCUGCCGGCUCUUCUUGAUACUGUAAGUCAACAAAUUUUCAGCCCAUUCAAAUUUAUGUCGCGAAUUCAAUAUUACGUAACAUUCGCGAAUGCUAAAAUAACUCAGUUUGAAUGUUUCACGUAACUUUUCUCCAUUUUUUUUGUCUAUCGCCAUAUUUGCCAUGGCGAUGUGCAGUGCUGGCAGUUUUUCAUGCGCAUGCUUGAUCCUUGGCUUUGGCGAUCAUUUUUUGGCUU
Sycon ciliatum is the source of this 815-nucleotide long non-coding RNA. RefSeq lists it as uncharacterized. The record is from RefSeq and is a predicted model, not a curated record. The transcript has 5 exons. NCBI's taxonomy places the organism in Eukaryota, Metazoa, Porifera, Calcarea, Leucosolenida, Sycettidae.